GAUCAUGGCUCAGGAUGAACGCUGGCGGCGUGCUUAACACAUGCAAGUCGAGCGAAACACCUUAUUUGAUUUUCUUCGGAACUGAAGAUUUGGUGAUUGAGUGGCGGACGGGUGAGUAACGCGUGGGUAACCUAUCCUGUACAGGGGAGUAACAGCCAGAAAUGACUGCUAAUACCGCAUAAGACCACAGCACCGCAUGGUGCAGGGGUAAAAACUCCGGUGGUACAGGAUGGACCCGCGU
This 241-nucleotide ribosomal RNA is filed under the name uncultured bacterium. Its description in RNAcentral is "partial 16S ribosomal RNA". It matches the Rfam family "Bacterial small subunit ribosomal RNA", at positions 15 to 236 of the family's 1533-position model. The record is from RNAcentral.